CUCAGAAGGACAGUGUCCACAUUCAUCCUGACCACCAGCUCCAUCUACGAGAGAGAGCCCAAAGCUGCCCCCUGGGCGAUGGAGUCACACCGCUGCUGGCCUCUUGGGAGUACUCACUUGGACAGAACUGCAACGAAGCCAUGCCUGAAUUGAAGGGUGUGGGUCUCGUUGGCCAAAGACCGUCUUUCAUUGGAACUAGGAAUAAGAGUGUUAGUUCAUAGCACACCUGCUUUGUACAUAGCAAGUGCUUCUUAAAAAGGGCUUCGCUCUGUUGCCCAGGCAGGAGUGCAGUGUUGCAGUGAGCCGAGAUCACGCCACAGCACUCCAGCCUGGGCGACAGAGCGAGACUCUGUCUCAAAAAAUAAAUAAAUAAAUAAAAGGCUUUCAGAGAUAAGCAA
This is a long non-coding RNA of Homo sapiens (human), 398 nucleotides long. The record is from Ensembl. NCBI's taxonomy places the organism in Eukaryota, Metazoa, Chordata, Mammalia, Primates, Hominidae.